RNAcentral lists this ribosomal RNA (253 nucleotides) under uncultured bacterium. Its description in RNAcentral is "partial 16S ribosomal RNA". It matches the Rfam family "Bacterial small subunit ribosomal RNA", at positions 524 to 776 of the family's 1533-position model. The record is from RNAcentral.
UACGGAGGGUGCAAGCGUUGUCCGGAUUUAUUGGGUUUAAAGGGUGCGUAGGUGGCGUGUUAAGUCAGUGGUGAAAGCCUGCAGCUCAACUGUAGAGGUGCCAUUGAUACUGACAUGCUUGAGUAUGGACGAGGUAAGCGGAAUUUGUGGUGUAGCGGUGAAAUGCAUAGAUACCACAAGGAACACCGAUAGCGAAGGCAGCUUACUGGACCAUAACUGACACUGAGGCACGAAAGCGUGGGGAGCGAACAGG